This 452-nucleotide ribosomal RNA is filed under the name uncultured soil bacterium. Its description in RNAcentral is "bacterial SSU rRNA". It matches the Rfam family "Bacterial small subunit ribosomal RNA", at positions 947 to 1384 of the family's 1533-position model. The record is from RNAcentral.
GAAUUCGAUUAACGCGAAGAACCUUACCUGGGCUCGAACGGCUCACGAACGACUGUGGAAACACGGUUUUCCCGCAAGGGACGGGAGUCGAGGUGCUGCAUGGCUGUCGUCAGCUCGUGUCGUGAGAUGUUGGGUUAAGUCCCGCAACGAGCGCAACCCUCGUCCUGUGUUGCUACUCCGCAAGGAGGCACUCUCAGGAGACCGCCGGCGAUAAGCUGGAGGAAGGUGGGGAUGACGUCAAGUCAUCAUGGCCUUUAUGUCCAGGGCUACACACGUGCUACAAUGGACGGUACAAACCGCUGCAAGCCCGCGAGGGGGAGCAAAUCGGAGAAAACCGUUCUCAGUUCGGAUCGCAGGCUGCAACUCGCCUGCGUGAAGCUGGAAUCGCUAGUAAUGGCGUAUCAGAACGACGCCGUGAAUACGUUCCCGGGCCUUGUCACACCGAAUCACUA